UUCGGCGUGCUUAACACAUGCAAGUCGAACGGAAAGGCCCUGCUUUUGUGGGGUGCUCGAGUGGCGAACGGGUGAGUAACACGUGAGUAACCUGCCCUUGACUUUGGGAUAACUUCAGGAAACUGGGGCUAAUACCGGAUAGGAGCUCCUGCUGCAUGGUGGGGGUUGGAAAGUUUCGGCGGUUGGGGAUGGACUCGCGGCUUAUCAGCUUGUUGGUGGGGUAGUGGCUUACCAAGGCUUUGACGGGUAGCCGGCCUGAGAGGGUGACCGGCCACAUUGGGACUGAGAUACGGCCCAGACUCCUACGGGAGGCAGCAGUGGGGAAUAUUGCACAAUGGGCGGAAGCCUGAUGCAGCAACGCCGCGUGCGGGAUGACGGCCUUCGGGUUGUAAACCGCUUUCGCCUGUGACGAAGCGUGAGUGACGGUAAUGGGUAAAGAAGCACCGGCUAACUACGUGCCAGCAGCCGCGGUGAUACGUAGGGUGCGAGCGUUGUCCGGAUUUAUUGGGCGUAAAGGGCUCGUAGGUGGUUGAUCGCGUCGGAAGUGUAAUCUUGGGGCUUAACCCUGAGCGUGCUUUCGAUACGGGUUGACUUGAGGAAGGUAGGGGAGAAUGGAAUUCCUGGUGGAGCGGUGGAAUGCGCAGAUAUCAGGAGGAACACCAGUGGCGAAGGCGGUUCUCUGGGCCUUUCCUGACGCUGAGGAGCGAAAGCGUGGGGAGCGAACAGGCUUAGAUACCCUGGUAGUCCACGCUGUAAACGGUGGGUACUAGGUGUGGGGUCCAUUCCACGGGUUCCGUGCCGUAGCUAACGCUUUAAGUACCCCGCCUGGGGAGUACGGCCGCAAGGCUAAAACUCAAAGGAAUUGACGGGGCCCCGCACAAGCGGCGGAGCAUGCGGAUUAAUUCGAUGCAACGCGUAGAACCUUACCUGGGUUUGACAUGGAUCGGGAGUGCUCAGAGAUGGGUGUGCCUCUUUUGGGGUCGGUUCACAGGUGGUGCAUGGCUGUCGUCAGCUCGUGUCGUGAGAUGUUGGGUUAAGUCCCGCAACGAGCGCAACCCUUGUUCACUGUUGCCAGCACGUUAUGGUGGGGACUCAGUGGAGACCGCCGGGGUCAACUCGGAGGAAGGUGGGGAUGACGUCAAGUCAUCAUGCCCCUUAUGUCCAGGGCUUCACGCAUGCUACAAUGGCUGGUACAGAGAGUGGCGAGCCUGUGAGGGUGAGCGAAUCUCGGAAAGCCGGUCUCAGUUCGGAUUGGGGUCUGCAACUCGACCUCAUGAAGUCGGAGUCGCUAGUAAUCGCAGAUCAGCAACGCUGCGGUGAAUACGUUCCCGGGGCUUGUACACACCGCCCGUCAAGUCAUGAAAGUUGGUAACACCCGAAGCCGGUGGCCUAACCGUUGUGGGGGAGCCGUCGAAGGUGGGACUGGUGAUUAGGACU
Molecule: ribosomal RNA, 1437 nt
Filed under: uncultured organism
Description: partial small subunit ribosomal RNA
Rfam family: Bacterial small subunit ribosomal RNA
Source: RNAcentral